This 477-nucleotide ribosomal RNA is filed under the name uncultured bacterium. Its description in RNAcentral is "partial 16S ribosomal RNA". It matches the Rfam family "Bacterial small subunit ribosomal RNA", at positions 28 to 523 of the family's 1533-position model. The record is from RNAcentral.
GACGAACGCUGGCGGCGUGCUUAACACAUGCAAGUCGAACGGUAAGGCCCUUCGGGGUACACGAGUGGCGAACGGGUGAGUAACACGUGGGUGAUCUGCCCUGCACUUCGGGAUAAGCCUGGGAAACUGGGUCUAAUCCCGGAUAGGACUCCUGGCUUCAUGGUUGGGGGUGGAAAGCUUUUGCGGUGUGGGAUGGGCCCGCGGCCUAUCAGCUUGUUGUGGGGUAAUGGCCUACCAAGGCGACGACGGGUAGCCGGCCUGAGAGGGUGACCGGUCACACUGGGACUGAGAUACGGCCCAGACUCCUACGGGAGGCAGCAGUGGGGAAUAUUGCACAAUGGGCGCAAGCCUGAUGCAGCGACGCCGCGUGAGGGAUGGCGGCCUUCGGGUUGUAAACCUCUUUCAGCUAUGACGAAGCGCAAGUGACGGUAGUAGCAGAAGAAGGACCGGCCAACUACGUGCCAGCCGCCGCCGUAA